GACGAACGCUGGCGGCGUGCUUAACACAUGCAAGUCGAACGGAAAGGCCCUGCUUACAGGGUACUCGAGUGGCGAACGGGUGAGUAACACGUGGGUGAUCUGCCCUGCACUUCGGGAUAAGCCUGGGAAACUGGGUCUAAUACCGGAUAGGAGCCAUUUUUAGUGUGAUGGUUGGAAAGUUUUUUUCGGUGUAGGAUGAGCUCGCGGCCUAUCAGCUUGUUGGUGGGGUAAUGGCCUACCAAGGCGGCGACGGGUAGCCGGCCUGAGAGGGUGGACGGCCACAUUGGGACUGAGAUACGGCCCAGACUCCUACGGGAGGCAGCAGUGGGGAAUAUUGCACAAUGGGCGCAAGCCUGAUGCAGCGACGCCGCGUGGGGGAUGACGGCCUUCGGGUUGUAAACUCCUUUCGCUAGGGACGAAGCUUUUUGUGACGGUACCUAGAUAAGAAGCACCGGCUAACUACGUG
This 466-nucleotide ribosomal RNA is filed under the name uncultured bacterium. Its description in RNAcentral is "partial 16S ribosomal RNA". It matches the Rfam family "Bacterial small subunit ribosomal RNA", at positions 28 to 507 of the family's 1533-position model. The record is from RNAcentral.